This 484-nucleotide ribosomal RNA is filed under the name uncultured bacterium. RNAcentral's name for it is "partial 16S ribosomal RNA". It matches the Rfam family "Bacterial small subunit ribosomal RNA", at positions 28 to 507 of the family's 1533-position model. The record is from RNAcentral.
AUUGAACGCUGGCGGCAUGCUUUACACAUGCAAGUCGAACGGCAGCGCGGGCUUCGGCCUGGCGGCGAGUGGCGAACGGGUGAGUAAUGCAUCGGAACGUGCCCAGUAGUGGGGGAUAGCCCGGCGAAAGCCGGAUUAAUACCGCAUACGACCUGAGGGUGAAAGAGGGGGACCGAAAGGCCUCGCGCUAUUGGAGCGGCCGAUGUCGGAUUAGCUGGUUGGUGGGGUAAAGGCUUACCAAGGCGACGAUCCGUAGCUGGUCUGAGAGGACGACCAGCCACACGGGGACUGAGACACGGCCCAGACUCCUACGGGAGGCAGCAGUGGGGAAUUUUGGACAAUGGGGGCAACCCUGAUCCAGCCAUGCCGCGUGCGGGAAGAAGGCCUUCGGGUUGUAAACCGCUUUUGUUCGGGAAGAAAUCCUCUGGGCUAAUACCCCGGGGGGAUGACGGUACCGGAAGAAUAAGCACCGGCUAACUACGUG